RNAcentral lists this unclassified non-coding RNA (331 nucleotides) under uncultured fungus. RNAcentral describes it as "partial contains 5.8S ribosomal RNA and internal transcribed spacer 2". The stretch from base 1 to 133 matches the Rfam family "5.8S ribosomal RNA", at positions 22 to 154 of the family's 154-position model. The record is from RNAcentral. Lineage: Eukaryota; Fungi.
UGGUUCUGGCAUCGAUGAAGAACGCAGCGAAAUGCGAUAAGUAAUGUGAAUUGCAGAAUUCAGUGAAUCAUCGAAUCUUUGAACGCACAUUGCGCCCUUUGGCAUUCCGAAGGGCAUGCCCGUUCGAGCGUCAUUAAACCCACUCAAGCCUGGCUUGGUAUUGGGUGCCGGGGACUUCCCGCGCCUCCAUUUCGCCGGCUGGCCGUCCUUUGACUUAGCGUUGUGGCACAUGCCGCUGACGACAAAGACGGACUGUGCCGUGAAAAUUUCCUUGGAUGUUACCCAACAUUCAGUAAAGGUUGACCUCGGAUCGGGUAGGAAUACCCGCUGA